GCGAAUGGCUCAUUAAAUCAGUUAUCGUUUAUUUGAUAGUACCUUACUACUUGGAUAACCGUGGUAAUUCUAGAGCUAAUACAUGCUGAAAACCCCGACUUCGGAAGGGGUGUAUUUAUUAGAUAAAAAACCAAUGCCCUUCGGGGCUCCUUGGUGAUUCAUAAUAACUUCUCAGAUCGCAUGGCCUUGCGCCGGCGACGGUUCAUUCAAAUUUCUGCCCUAUCAACUUUCGAUGGUAAGGUAUUGGCUUACCAUGGUUUCAACGGGUAACGGGGAAUUAGGGUUCGAUUCCGGAGAGGGAGCCUGAGAAACGGCUACCACAUCCAAGGAAGGCAGCAGGCGCGCAAAUUACCCAAUCCCGACACGGGGAGGUAGUGACAAUAAAUACUGAUACAGGGCUCUUUUGGGUCUUGUAAUUGGAAUGAGUACAAUUUAAACCUCUUAACGAGGAACAAUUGGAGGGCAAGUCUGGUGCCAGCAGCCGCGGUAAUUCCAGCUCCAAUAGCGUAUAUUAAAGUUGUUGCAGUUAAAAAGCUCGUAGUUGAACCUUUGGCCUGGCUGGCAGGUCCGCCUCACCGCGUGCACUUGUCCGGCCGGGCCUUCUUUUCUGGAGAACCGCAUGCCCUUCACUGGGUGUGUUGGGGACCAGGACUUUUACUUUGAAAAAAUUAGAGUGUUCAAAGCAGGCCUUUGCUCGAAUACGUUAGCAUGGAAUAAUAGAAUAGGACGUGCGGUCCUAUUUUGUUGGUUUCUAGGACCGCCGUAAUGAUUAAUAGGGACAGUCGGGGGCAUCAGUAUUCAAUUGUCAGAGGUGAAAUUCUUGGAUUUAUUGAAGACUAACUACUGCGAAAGCAUUUGCCAAGGAUGUUUUCAUUAAUCAGUGAACGAAAGUUAGGGGAUCGAAGACGAUCAGAUACCGUCGUAGUCUUAACCAUAAACUAUGCCGACUAGGGAUCGGGCGGUGUUAUUAUUUUGACUCGCUCGGCACCUUACGAGAA
RNAcentral lists this ribosomal RNA (998 nucleotides) under Lentithecium yunnanense. RNAcentral's name for it is "SSU rRNA". It matches the Rfam family "Eukaryotic small subunit ribosomal RNA", at positions 89 to 1096 of the family's 1831-position model. Lineage: Eukaryota; Fungi; Ascomycota; Dothideomycetes; Pleosporales; Lentitheciaceae. The record is from RNAcentral.